Molecule: ribosomal RNA, 253 nt
Filed under: uncultured bacterium
Lineage: Bacteria
Description: partial 16S ribosomal RNA
Rfam family: Bacterial small subunit ribosomal RNA
Source: RNAcentral
GACAGAGGAUGCAAGCGUUAUCCGGAAUGAUUGGGCGUAAAGCGUCUGUAGGUGGCUUUUUAAGUCUGCCGUCAAAUCCCAGGGCUUAACCCUGGACAGGCGGUGGAAACUACCAAGCUGGAGUACGGUAGGGGCAGAGGGAAUUUCCGGUGGAGCGGUGAAAUGCGUAGAGAUGUGGAGGAACACCGAUGGCGAAGGCAGCCCCCUGGGUCAAGAUUGACGCUCAUGCACGAAAGCGUGGGGAGCAAACAGG